RNAcentral lists this ribosomal RNA (253 nucleotides) under uncultured bacterium. Its description in RNAcentral is "partial 16S ribosomal RNA". It matches the Rfam family "Bacterial small subunit ribosomal RNA", at positions 524 to 776 of the family's 1533-position model. The record is from RNAcentral.
UACGUAGGUUCCGAGCGUUAUCCGGAUUUACUGGGCGUAAAGCGCGUUCAGGCGGUUUGGCAAGUCGGGCAUGAAAUCUCUCGGCUCAACCGGGAGAGGUUGUCCGAUACUUCCAGACUUGAGGGCAGUAGAGGGUGGUGGAAUUCCGGGUGUAGUGGUGAAAUGCGUAGAUAUCCGGAGGAACACCAGUGGCGAAAGCGGCCACCUGGACUGCACCUGACGCUGACACGCGAAAGCUAGGGGAGCGAACGGG